AACGUAGGAGGCAAGCGUUAUCCGGAUUUACUGGGCAUAAAGGGCGUCUAGGCGGUGUCUUAAGUUGGGCGUGAAAUCUCCCGGCUCAACCGGGAGGGGCCGUUCAAUACUGGGACACUUGAGGGCAGGAGAGGAAAGUGGAAUUCCCGGUGUAGUGGUGGAAUACUUAGAUAUCGGGAGGAACACCAGUGGCGAAGGCGGCUUUCUGGCCUGUACCUGACGCUGAAGCGCGAAAGCGUGGGUAGCGAACGGGAUUAGAUACCCCCGUA
RNAcentral lists this ribosomal RNA (269 nucleotides) under uncultured prokaryote. RNAcentral's name for it is "partial 16S ribosomal RNA". It matches the Rfam family "Bacterial small subunit ribosomal RNA", at positions 524 to 792 of the family's 1533-position model. The record is from RNAcentral.